RNAcentral lists this ribosomal RNA (322 nucleotides) under uncultured bacterium. Its description in RNAcentral is "bacterial SSU rRNA". It matches the Rfam family "Bacterial small subunit ribosomal RNA", at positions 202 to 507 of the family's 1533-position model. The record is from RNAcentral.
AAAGCGGGGGAUCUUCGGACCUCGCGCUAUGAGAUGAGCCUGCGUUAGAUUAGCUAGUUGGUAGGGUAAGGGCCUACCAAGGCGACGAUCUAUAGCUGGUCUGAGAGGACGAUCAGCCACACUGGGACUGAGACACGGCCCAGACUCCUACGGGAGGCAGCAGUGGGGAAUAUUGGACAAUGGGCGCAAGCCUGAUCCAGCAAUACCGCGUGUGUGAAGAAGGCCUUAGGGUUGUAAAGCACUUUCAAUUGGGAGGAAAACCUGCCGGUCAAUACCCGGCAGCUUGACAUUACCUUUAGAAGAAGCACCGGCUAACUCCGUG